UUAAAUUGAAGAGUUUGAUCAUGGCUCAGAUUGAACGCUGGCGGCAGGCCUAACACAUGCAAGUCGAACGGUAACAGGAAGUAGCUUGCUGCUUUG
This 96-nucleotide ribosomal RNA is filed under the name Salmonella enterica subsp. enterica serovar Corvallis. RNAcentral describes it as "partial 16S ribosomal RNA". It matches the Rfam family "Bacterial small subunit ribosomal RNA", at positions 1 to 90 of the family's 1533-position model. Lineage: Bacteria; Pseudomonadati; Pseudomonadota; Gammaproteobacteria; Enterobacterales; Enterobacteriaceae. The record is from RNAcentral.